Molecule: unclassified non-coding RNA, 1033 nt
Filed under: Limulus polyphemus (Atlantic horseshoe crab)
Lineage: Eukaryota; Metazoa; Arthropoda; Merostomata; Xiphosura; Limulidae
Description: polyribonucleotide 5'-hydroxyl-kinase Clp1-like, transcript variant X4
Source: RNAcentral
CAUUAAAAUUCAAAUUUUACGAACCAAAAGCUAGACCUGAUCCAGGCUAUGAAAAACUUCGUUAAUUAAGAAGUGAGUCGACAUUAAUUUGCGAGUCAAAUAAGACAAAAUGACUGAAGAAAAAGAAAUGAAAGAUGAGAAAGUUCAAGAAUUUAAACUAGAUGCAGAAUCAGAACUAAGAUUUGAGGUAGAGGGAAAAGAAAAGGUGACAGUAGAGUUGAAAUCGGGAACAGCAGAAAUUUUUGGAACAGAAUUAGUCAAGAGUAAGAAAUACACGUUUACUUCUGGAUCCAAGAAAGCAGUUUAUACUUGGCAUGGAUGUACAAUAGAACUUAGAGGCAAGUGUGAAGUAGCUUAUGUAGCAAAAGAAACACCAAUGAUUUUUUAUGCUAAUAUUCAUGCAGCAUUGGAACAACAGCGUAGAAAGGCUGAGGAAGAAGAUACCAAAGGACCAACACUUUUGAUUGUGGGACCCACAGACGUAGGGAAGAGUACUUUAUGUAGGAUUCUUCUGAAUUAUGCUGUUCGUCAAGGGAGGAGACCCAUUUUUGUAGAUUUAGAUGUUGGCCAGGGGCAGACAUCUAUACCAGGAACUGUAGGUGCUCUCUUAGUGGAAAGACCAGCAGAUGUUGAGGAAGGAUUCUCUCAACAAGCUCCUUUGGUUUAUCAUUAUGGCCAUAAAAGUCCAGGGAACAACAUUACACUAUACAAUAUGUUAGUUUCCAGAAUAGCUGAAGUUAUCAGUCUACGAGCAGAGAGUAAUAAAAAAGCAAGUGUUAGUGGUGUUAUCAUCAACACGUGUGGGUGGGUGAAGAAUGAAGGUUACCAAGCAAUAACACAUGCAGCACUUGCUUUUGAAGGACAGAAGGAAGACUGCCACUGAUCUCAAGCACGAGAAAAAUGACCAUGUACAACUGUUCAUUGAUACCCCCACACUGAUAAGUCGAUAUCAUCUUAGUAAUUGAUCAGGAAAGAUUGUAUAAUGAGUUGGAGCGUGACAUGCCUCCUUUUGUCAGGAUUGUUUCUGUCCCAA